CCCAGGAUGGACACCCCCCGCCCCCAGGGGCUUUGCCCUGUUGGUGCUAUCUGGGAAUAAACACCGCUGCUGCAGAGCGCCUGCCCUGAUGGCUGCUGCCUGUCCCAAGGAGGGCUCCCCUAGGUGUCCUUCCUAGGGUCCCUAAAGGGCCUCGGAGUGCUCCUUUCCGACUUGUACUCCCUUCCCACCCCAGCAGGCCCCACAGUGUCUAGCAUCUACCCUCAACCCCAGCCUCUGGAUGAGGCAAGAGGGAGCCGAUGGAGUGUGUUGCUCGAGGACCUGUGCUCAAGGAAGGACUCUUGGAGGUCUAGGAACAGCACAGGGCGCUUAGGCUCUCCGAGGUGGAGUGAGUUCGGUGCUGAAGUUUAAGGACAAUUGGAACACUCUGAGGAUCCCUCUUCUCUUCUCAGACCCUCUGACACCUCACAAUGUGCCUUCUCCAAAGCUCUGUUUUCACAACUGAAAAGGAGAAGGUAUUUAGAAUACUAAGUUAUGCUCACAUGUAGAAUAUAGAGUGUGGCAGAUGAGGGUGUGUGUUCACCUAUAUGCCCACGUGUGAUGUGUGUACAUAGGCUACCACUAUAGUUCCAUCAGUUCUGCGUACAUCCCUGGAAAACCGAGGUCACUUCCUGUCCCCUGGAAGGGAAUAUGUUGGCUAGGAGUCUCCGUGAGCAUCCAGAGCAUCCAUUGUGCUCAUCUCACAACCAUUCCCCCUUUCCUGGGCCCCAAACUAUAAAUAACCAUGGCUCUUGCUCCAAGUACCUACUGGAAAUGAGGAUUUUAUGCUAUCAGUUCUCUAGAGCAGAACACGGGGUCAAUGGAACAUAUCUGGGGGACAACAAGAGCCUUAGGGCUAGGAAAGCAGGUGUGCCCAGGAAGGGUGGAAACCUGUCUUUCCAUUCUCUGAACAUCCCUCCCUUGUUUCUUUCCUUCCUUCUAACCUAACAUUCUGGCAGAGAUUUAAAUUAGAUGAUGGAGACUUGGUAAAUACUUAUGCCAAGAUGGGUGUCACACAUCAGUUAAAAGAGUAAGCCAUAAUUGGAGUUCUAAGAUGGCACGGUAUUCUAACUUAAUUUCUGCUGAUCUGGCAAAUACUUUGAUGAAAAGCAACAUGUGGGAGGAAAGCUUGCAAUUCCAGGUCAUAGUCCAUGAUAG
RNAcentral lists this long non-coding RNA (1155 nucleotides) under Cricetulus griseus (Chinese hamster). RNAcentral describes it as "lncRNA (ENSCGRG00015040841.1)". Lineage: Eukaryota; Metazoa; Chordata; Mammalia; Rodentia; Cricetidae. The record is from RNAcentral.